This 328-nucleotide ribosomal RNA is filed under the name Enterobacter cloacae. RNAcentral's name for it is "bacterial SSU rRNA". It matches the Rfam family "Bacterial small subunit ribosomal RNA", at positions 50 to 377 of the family's 1533-position model. The record is from RNAcentral. Lineage: Bacteria; Pseudomonadati; Pseudomonadota; Gammaproteobacteria; Enterobacterales; Enterobacteriaceae.
AACCUUGCAAGUCGAACGGUAGCACAGAGAGCUUGCUCUCGGGUGACGAGUGGCGGACGGGUGAGUAAUGUCUGGGAAACUGCCUGAUGGAGGGGGAUAACUACUGGAAACGGUAGCUAAUACCGCAUAAUGUCGCAAGACCAAAGAGGGGGACCUUCGGGCCUCUUGCCAUCAGAUGUGCCCAGAUGGGAUUAGCUAGUAGGUGGGGUAACGGCUCACCUAGGCGACGAUCCCUAGCUGGUCUGAGAGGAUGACCAGCCUCACUGGAACUGAAACACUGUCCAGACUCCUACUGGAUGCAUCUGUGAGGAAUUUUACAAAGUAUGCA